Molecule: long non-coding RNA, 881 nt
Organism: Thunnus maccoyii (southern bluefin tuna)
Lineage: Eukaryota; Metazoa; Chordata; Actinopteri; Scombriformes; Scombridae
Exons: 3
Source: RefSeq, a predicted model, not a curated record
CACAGCUGCUACCUCUGACACUGUACGCCAUCUCUGACUCACCAGAGACGGUUUAUACUCCGGUGUCAUUGUCAGCUCUGAAUUGUCUCCUCUGUCUUGUGUAGAAGGGAUCUCGCAGGGAUUCUUCACAAUGGCUACAAAAAAUACAAUGAGCCAAAGUCAUCAAAUAUCAUUCAUCUGUCCACAACUGUUUUGUCUCUUUCCCUUUUUCAUGCCCUUUUCACACCCAAACCCACGCUGUCCGUCUCUAUGCUGCCCACAACUUGCUUUUCCUCUGUUUCUGCCCUCCUUCUUUUUCUCUCCAUUUCUCCAGAGCUCCAGCACACGCACAAAGAAAAGGGCAGAGAGCUAAUCCUCCAGCAUUGUUGGGUGGGCUUAGUAUUGUCAUAUGGUAGCAAGCACAGAGGGAGAGGGAUUAUGAGACAGAUAUAUGCCGGAGUAUACGCCACCUCUAAGCAUUGAUAUUUUGAAGAAACACCCAUUUUCUGCAGUUUGAUGAGAUUUCACAAGUGUUUCAGCACACACAACACCAAGAGACAAUGCGAUAUGGCUUCUACAGUCUACAAGCAGAAAUCUCAGCGGGAGGAGCGAUACCGCGACAGGGCCUAACCCUGACCUCUGACCUUUAACUGCUGAGGAACACCGAGACAGAUGAAGUUGCCCACAGACACUGAUCUGGAGUGACUUUUGCAAUUUUCCCCUGUAACGGGCGAGCUUACGAGACGGAGAGGAGACUCUGAUUAUCAGCUGAUCAGCAGGAUGACUGACCUCGCCCUGCUGAUCUGAGUUCUGUCGUGCGCAAGUUAAACCUCACGUCCUCGACUUCUCCAGCGACACAGGCGACACCGAAAGGACUCCCCAGUUACUGUCUGUUCUAAGAG